Molecule: ribosomal RNA, 472 nt
Filed under: uncultured bacterium
Lineage: Bacteria
Description: SSU rRNA
Rfam family: Bacterial small subunit ribosomal RNA
Source: RNAcentral
AGGACGAACGCUGGCGGCGUGCCUAACACAUGCAAGUCGAACGGGGGUAGCAAUACCCCAGUGGCGAACGGGUGCGUAACACGUGAAGAACUUGUCCAUCGGCGGGGGAUAGCCGGCCCAACGGCCGGGUAAUACCGCGUACGUCGUCCGGAGCGCAUGCUCUGGCCGGGAAAGCAGCAAUGCACCGAUGGAGAGCUUCGCGGCCUAUCAGCUUGUUGGCGGGGUAAUGGCCCACCAAGGCAACGACGGGUAGCUGGUCUGAGAGGAUGAUCAGCCACAUUGGGACUGAGACACGGCCCAGACUCCUACGGGAGGCAGCAGUGGGGAAUAUUGCGCAAUGGGCGAAAGCCUGACGCAGCGACGCCGCGUGUGGGAUGACGGCCUUCGGGUGUAACCACUGUCGCGAGGGACGAAAAAAUGACGGUACCUCGAAAGGAAGCACCGGCUAACUCUGCGCCAGCAGCCGCGGUAA